UGGAGUCUGCAACUCGACUCCAUGAAGUCGGAAUCGCUAGUAAUCGUGGAUCAGAAUGCCACGGUGAAUACGUUCCCGGGCCUUGUACACACCGCCCGUCACACCAUGGGAGUGGGUUGCAAAAGAAGUAGGUAGCUUAACCUUCGGGGGGGCGCUUACCACUUUGUGAUUCAUGACUGGGGUGAAGUCGUAACAAGGUAACCGUAGGGGAACCUGCGGUUGGAUCACCUCCUUACCUUAAAGAAGC
This 247-nucleotide ribosomal RNA is filed under the name Salmonella enterica subsp. enterica serovar Typhi. RNAcentral's name for it is "partial 16S ribosomal RNA". It matches the Rfam family "Bacterial small subunit ribosomal RNA", at positions 1299 to 1533 of the family's 1533-position model. Lineage: Bacteria; Pseudomonadati; Pseudomonadota; Gammaproteobacteria; Enterobacterales; Enterobacteriaceae. The record is from RNAcentral.